GUCUACUGCCCUGCCACCCUUAAUGUGCCCUAUCCCGUCUGAUCUCGGAAGCUAAGCAGGGUCGGGCCUGGUUAGUACUUGGAGACCACCUAGGAAUACUAGGUGCCGUAGGCA
RNAcentral lists this ribosomal RNA (114 nucleotides) under Pteropus alecto (black flying fox). The record is from RNAcentral. Lineage: Eukaryota; Metazoa; Chordata; Mammalia; Chiroptera; Pteropodidae.